CAUCCGGUCGAUCCUGCCGGAGCGCGACGCUCUCCCCAAGGACGAAGCCAUGCAUGCCCGCUCACCCGGGACGCGGCGGACGGCUCAGGACAACGGUUGCACCCCCCGCGGCGGUCCCUGCUAGCCGGACACCGCUGGCAACCCGGCGCCAAGACGUGCGCGCAAGGGCGGGCGCCCGCGGGCGAGCAGCGUGACGCAGCGACGGCCCGCCCGGGCUUCCGGGGCAUCACCCGGUCGGCGCGGUCGCGGCGCGCCGAGGGCCCGACGCCUGGCGGAGAAUCAGGGUUCGACUCCGGAGAGCGGGCCUGCGAGACGGCCCGCACAUCCAAGGACGGCAGCAGGCGCGGAACUUGCCCAAUGCGCGGCGCGCGAGGCAGCGACGGGGAGCGCGCGAGCGAGGCGGGCCCACAGCCCCCGCCGCGGAGCCGAGGGCAAGGUCUGGUGCCAGCAGCCGCGGUAAUUCCAGCUCGGCGAGCGUCGCGCGGCGCUGCUGCAGUUGAAACGCCCGUAGUUGGCCCCCCGCCGCCACGAGGAAACGGGAGCGCUCCAGGCAGGCCCGUUGGACCCGCCGCGUGGGACCGCGCAGCGGGCCGGCGCGCCGCGGCAGCCCCGAGGAGAGCGGGCGGGGGCACCGGUAC
RNAcentral lists this ribosomal RNA (638 nucleotides) under Giardia duodenalis. RNAcentral's name for it is "SSU rRNA". The stretch from base 4 to 483 matches the Rfam family "Eukaryotic small subunit ribosomal RNA", at positions 4 to 605 of the family's 1831-position model. The record is from RNAcentral. Lineage: Eukaryota; Fornicata; Diplomonadida; Hexamitidae.